AAUUAGUCUACUCUAAUGCAGUUUAAUGUCUAUACAUUUCUAUUGCCUCGCUUGUAGACAAGAGCAAGAGAAGGUUUUAUUAUCCUAGCAAUAAUUUUUUACCUUUCAUGGGCUGAAUUAUUGCUCGAGAAACGUAAAAUCACAAAA
Lucilia sericata (common green bottle fly) is the source of this 147-nucleotide small nucleolar RNA. RefSeq annotates it as small nucleolar RNA psi28S-1192. NCBI's taxonomy places the organism in Eukaryota, Metazoa, Arthropoda, Insecta, Diptera, Calliphoridae. The transcript has a single exon. The record is from RefSeq and is a predicted model, not a curated record.